UAUACAUUAAUGUACUCUAAAUAUACAUUAAUGUACUCUAAAUAUACAUUAAAUACUUUGUUCAUUUUAUUUCCCUAUGUUAAUUACAUUUUUGUAUUUGAUUGUAUCUUCUCAGCCGUGUUAAUUAACAUGGUUAAUCUGACCUUGAUAAAUAUUGUGGGAAGAAAUGUUCCACUGUUGUCAGGAGAAAUGUUCCGGUGUUGUCAGGAGAAAUGUUCAGUGUUGUCAGGAGAAAUGUUCCAGUGUUGUCAGGAGAAAUGUUCCAGUGUUGUCAGGAGAAAUGUUCUGGUGUUGUCAGGAGAAAUGUUCCAGUGUUGUCAGGAGAAAUGUUCUGGUGUUGUCAGGAGAAAUGUUCCAGUGUUGUCAGGAGAAAUGUUCCAGUGUUGUCAGGAGAAAUGUUCCAGUGCUGUCAGGAGAAAUGUUCCAGUGUUGUCAGGAGAAAUGUUCCAGUGCUGUCAGGAAAUAUGUUCCAGUGUUGUCAGGAGAAAUGUUCCGGUGUUGUCAGGAGAAAUGUUCCGGUGUUGUCAGGAGAAAUGUUCUGGUGUUGUCAGGAGAAAUGUUCCAGUGUUGUCAGGAGAAAUGUUCCAGUGCUGUCAGGAGAAAUGUUCCAGUGUUGUCAGGAGAAAUGUUCCGGUGUUGUCAGGAGAAAUGUUCCAGUGUUGUCAGGAGAAAUGUUCCAGUGUUGUCAGGAGAAAUGUUCCGGUGUUGUCAGGAGAAAUGUUACAGUGUUGUCAGGAGAAAUGUUCCAUUGUUGUCAGGAGAAAUGUUCCGGUGUUGUCAGGAGAAAUGUUCAGGUGUUGUCAGGAGAAAUGUUCCAAUGUUGUCAGGAGAAAUGUUCCAGUGUUGUCAGAAGUGUUCCAAUGUUGUCAGGAGAAAAAUGAAAGUUAAGACACAUGUGCAACAUCUGGAUAUCUUUAUUGUAGACGUUUCGCCAUCCAGUGGCUUUAUCAAUACAGAUUCUAGGAAUAAUAGGAAGACAGUAGAACUAUAUACAAAAGAUGAGGUAAUCAGUCCCUCAACCUUGGAGUUAGUGUUCACAGCAUCGUGGUGGAGGAGAAUCUGAAGCAAAGGCAAGAAGACUGGCGGUUAUAUAGGCGUCAGUGGAUAAGGACGGGCAGCAGACGAGGGCAUAGUCAGUGGUAGGCGGGAUUCCCCAGUGGAAGUAGGUCCUUCCCAAAGAGAUGGGUUAGUUGCAGCAGCCGUGAAGAAGGUCUUGUAGAUGUCCUCUGAACCAAGAUUCCAUGAUGUUGCAGUGUCUGACAAGUUGUGCAAGAAAGGUAUAAAAUGCCGACAAUAUUGUCGGUAUUUUAUACCUUUCUUGCACAAGUUGUCAGGAGAAAUUUUUCAUUUUCUUCUGACAAACCAAAUAUGAACAUUACACAGAGACCCACAUAAAGGAUCAUUAUGACAACGAAAUAUGGAUCCCAGGUUAUAACCUAUUCUGAUGCGACAGACUAAACAAGCAACAAGGGCGGGUUGGCCUGUAUGUCACAGUCGCUCGUUUGCACAGAAUUACUAAACACUUCAAAUGAUGUAGUUGAAGUUUUGGCAGUAUUACAACCCAGGAGUCCAAAUGGCCUGUUAUCCUGAGUGUAAAGGGAGCAAAAUAAACACAGCAGAAAA
Molecule: non-coding RNA, 1623 nt
Organism: Cherax quadricarinatus
Lineage: Eukaryota; Metazoa; Arthropoda; Malacostraca; Decapoda; Parastacidae
Source: RefSeq, a predicted model, not a curated record